Molecule: transfer RNA, 73 nt
Filed under: Sineleotris saccharae
Lineage: Eukaryota; Metazoa; Chordata; Actinopteri; Gobiiformes; Odontobutidae
Description: tRNA-Lys
Source: RNAcentral
CGCUGGGAAGCAAAUAAGGGCUAACGUUAGCCUUUUAAGCUAAAGAUUGGUGCCUCCUAACCACCCCCAGCGA